AUGCCGCGGGGCCGCCCCCCGAAGCCCAAGGAGAGCAAGGCGCGCGGCGAGACCGGUAAGCGGCCCCGGCCCGGCCGCGCUGUGCCGCUCCGCGCGAAUAUAGUCCCCCGACGCGGCGCGGGGGGCGCCGGGAGCGGGCUGGGCCGGGGGCGGCGGAGCGGGCUGGGGUUGGGGACCGGGAGCCGGGUCCGGGCCGAGGUGGGCGCUCUGCCACCGUCACCACCGCCGCCGCCGCCCGACUGCUGGGUCGCAGGGUGCGGGCGGAAUGAUACCGGCGCGGCGCGGCCGGCCCCUCCGCCGGGCUGGGCCUACUUUCCUGGGCCGCGCGGGCGGGCGGCGGGGCCGGGGGCGAGGCGCGCGCCGCCGCCCUCCUCCUCUCUCUCCUCUACUCUCUCUUCUCCUCCCCCCCCGUUCCUCCCCCCCCGUUCCUCCUCCCCCCUCCACACUCCGUCCUCCUCCCCCGUCCUCGGCGUCUUCCUCCCGCUCCCCCGCCCGCCACCUUCCUCCCGCUCCCCCGCCCGCCCCCUUCCUCCCGCUCCCCCGCCCGCCGCCGGCCCCCCCCCGGGGCCGCGGCAGCUCGCGGUCGGGCCGGGCCCGCCACCCCCGGGGACGCACACCGGGCCGGCGCCUUCUCCUCAGAAAGGCCUCCCACGACCUGCGGCAGCCGGGCCGGGAGAGCGCUGGGGCAGGUCGUGGGAGGCCUUUCUGAGGAGAAGGCGCCGGCCCGGUGUGCGUCCCCGGGGGUGGCGGGCCCGGCCCGACCGCGAGCUGCCGCGGCCCCGGGGGGGCGCCUGCGGGGGGCUCGGGAGCGGGUACCCCCGCGGUGACACGUGGGCCGAGACCGUGCGGGGCUCGUGUCCAGGUGCACCGUCUUCCGGGCCCGGGCUCGGUGGCCCAGCGUCACCCUCCCCUGAGGCUCGGGACCCAGGCGGGCGGGCGCUCCGGAUUUCGGAAGAGAAAGAGGUGGUGUCUGGAAGGGAAGGCCGUUGCGUCCGUUCCAUUUUGCCGCUGCGGCGUUUGGGAAGAGAGGAGGAGAGACUAGGUGUAAGAUUAGCGGCGUUGUCAGUGCUCUUACUGCAGUUGCUGAAGUUCACGGGCAUGGGAACCGGGCUGCAGCGCCCGCGAGUUUCCGCGGGAGAGGUGUCGCUGGAGAACAGGCCAGGUGUGCACGUUUGUAGUUGGCUAGUGGCUGCUAGAGUUCUCGUUAGUGGCUGA
Molecule: long non-coding RNA, 1215 nt
Filed under: Delphinapterus leucas (beluga whale)
Lineage: Eukaryota; Metazoa; Chordata; Mammalia; Artiodactyla; Monodontidae
Description: lncRNA (ENSDLEG00000008836.1)
Source: RNAcentral